GGGGGUAUGGCUCAGUGGUAGAGCAUUUGCCUAGCAUGUGCAAGGCCCUGAGCUCUAUCCCCA
RNAcentral lists this transfer RNA (63 nucleotides) under Ictidomys tridecemlineatus (thirteen-lined ground squirrel). RNAcentral's name for it is "Spermophilus tridecemlineatus (thirteen-lined ground squirrel) tRNA". It matches the Rfam family "tRNA". From Rfam's summary of the family: Transfer RNA (tRNA) molecules are approximately 80 nucleotides in length. Their secondary structure includes four short double-helical elements and three loops (D, anti-codon, and T loops). Lineage: Eukaryota; Metazoa; Chordata; Mammalia; Rodentia; Sciuridae. The record is from Rfam by way of RNAcentral.